UCGGGAAUUUUGGGCAAUGGGCGAAAGCCUGACCCAGCAACGCCGCGUGAAGGAUGAAGUAUUUCGGUAUGUAAACUUCGAAAGAAUAGGAAGAAUAAAUGACGGUACUAUUUAUAAGGUCCGGCUAACUACGUGCCAGCAGCCGCGGUAAUACGUAGGGACCAAGCGUUGUUCGGAUUUACUGGGCGUAAAGGGCGCGUAGGCGGUGUGUCAAGUCAGUUGUGAAAUCUCCGAGCUUAACUCGGAACGGUCAACUGAUACUGUCACACUAGAGUACAGAAGGGGCAAUCGGAAUUCUUGGUGUAGCGGUGAAAUGCGUAGAUAUCAAGAGGAACACCUGAGGCGAAGGCGGGUUGCUGGGCUGAUACUGACGCUGAGGCGCGAAAGCUAGGGUAGCAAACGGGAUUAGAUACCCCUGUAGUCCCUGAGCGGGCUGGCAAGGCGCAU
This 447-nucleotide ribosomal RNA is filed under the name uncultured bacterium. RNAcentral describes it as "bacterial SSU rRNA". It matches the Rfam family "Bacterial small subunit ribosomal RNA", at positions 355 to 825 of the family's 1533-position model. The record is from RNAcentral.